This 29-nucleotide non-coding RNA is filed under the name Bombyx mori (domestic silkworm). RNAcentral also lists the same sequence under 4 other names. The record is from RNAcentral. Lineage: Eukaryota; Metazoa; Arthropoda; Insecta; Lepidoptera; Bombycidae.
ACUGUCCCUAUCUACUAUCUAGCGAAACC